AAAACGACUCUCGGCAAUGGAUAUCUCGGCUCUCGCAUCGAUGAAGAACGUAGCGAAAUGCGAUACUUGGUGUGAAUUGCAGAAUCCCGUGAACCAUCGAGUCUUUGAACGCAAGUUGCGCCCCAAGCCUUCUGGCCGAGGGCACGUCUGCCUGGGUGUCACAA
Molecule: ribosomal RNA, 164 nt
Filed under: Arabidopsis thaliana (thale cress)
Lineage: Eukaryota; Viridiplantae; Streptophyta; Magnoliopsida; Brassicales; Brassicaceae
Description: 5.8S ribosomal RNA
Rfam family: 5.8S ribosomal RNA
About the family: 5.8S ribosomal RNA (5.8S rRNA) is a component of the large subunit of the eukaryotic ribosome. It is transcribed by RNA polymerase I as part of the 45S precursor that also contains 18S and 28S rRNA.
Source: RNAcentral